AGUGGGGAAUAUUGGACAAUGGGCGGAAGCCUGAUCCAGCCAUGCCGCGUGAGUGAAGAAGGCCUUCGGGUCGUAAAGCUCUUUCAGAUGCGAAGAUGAUGACGGUAACAUCAGAAGAAGCCCCGGCUAAUUUCGUGCCAGCAGCCGCGGUAAUACGAAAGGGGCAAGCGUUGUUCGGAUUUACUGGGCGUAAAGGGCACGCAGGCGGUCUUGCCAGUCAGGGGUGAAAGCCCGGGGCUCAACCCCGGAACUGCCUCUGAUACUGCAGGACUAGAGACUAGGAGAGGGUGGUGGAAUUCCCAGUGUAGAGGUGAAAUUCGUAGAUAUUGGGAGGAACACCAGAGGCGAAGGCGGCCACCUGGACUAGAUCUGACGCUCAGGUGCGAAAGCGUGGGGAGCAAACAGGAUUAGAUACCCUGGUAGUCCACGCCGUAAACGAUGAGUGCUAGUUGUCGGGAUUUCGAUUUCGGUGACGCAGCUAACGCAUUAAGCACUCCGCCUGGGGAGUACGGUCGCAAGAUUA
Molecule: ribosomal RNA, 523 nt
Filed under: uncultured bacterium
Lineage: Bacteria
Description: bacterial SSU rRNA
Rfam family: Bacterial small subunit ribosomal RNA
Source: RNAcentral